RNAcentral lists this transfer RNA (69 nucleotides) under Cerambycidae sp. 8 KM-2017. Its description in RNAcentral is "tRNA-Trp". The record is from RNAcentral. Lineage: Eukaryota; Metazoa; Arthropoda; Insecta; Coleoptera; Cerambycidae.
AAGGAUUUAAGUUAACUAAACUUUCAACCUUCAAAGUUGACAAUAUAGACAAAUAUUUUAUAAGCCUUA